ACGGGAGGCAGCAGCUAAGAAUAUUCCGCAAUGGACGAAAGUCUGACGGAGCAACGCCGCGUGGAUGAUGAAGGCCGGAAGGUUGUAAAAUCCUUUUAUUAUUGAGGAAUAAGCUAAGUAGGGAAUGACUUAGUGGUGACUGUAGAUAAUGAAUAAGCACCGGCUAAUUACGUGCCAGCAGCCGCGGUAACACGUAAGGUGCGAGCGUUAUUCGGAAUUAUUGGGCGUAAAGGGCAUGUAGGCGGUUUUGCAAGCUUGGUGUGAAAUUCCGGAGCUCAACUCCGGAACUGCGUUGAGAACUGCAUAACUAGAGUCACUGAGGGGCAAUCAGAAUUCCUGGUGUAGGGGUGAAAUCUGUAGAUAUCAGGAAGAAUACCAAUGGCGAAGGCAGGUUACCAGCAGAUGACUGACGCUGAGGUGCGAAGGUGCGGGGAGCAAACAGGAUUAGAUACCCUGGUA
Molecule: ribosomal RNA, 459 nt
Filed under: uncultured Treponema sp.
Lineage: Bacteria; Pseudomonadati; Spirochaetota; Spirochaetia; Treponematales; Treponemataceae
Description: partial 16S ribosomal RNA
Rfam family: Bacterial small subunit ribosomal RNA
Source: RNAcentral